RNAcentral lists this long non-coding RNA (829 nucleotides) under Vigna radiata. Its description in RNAcentral is "long non-coding RNA (VRAD_LNC001675)". The record is from RNAcentral. Lineage: Eukaryota; Viridiplantae; Streptophyta; Magnoliopsida; Fabales; Fabaceae.
CAAAAAGUACCAUUUUCCUACUUUCACUUAUACUUCAAAAAAUAUUCUUAGCUUUCUUACUUACUUGAACAUGAGAGAGUCUUUUGUAGUUGGAUUUUUCCCUAUAGUCGUUGACUUGUCAUAAAAGACUACUUUCAAGAUCUUUCCAUGUGUCUUGCAGAUACAAAAUCUAAACCCGAUAAGAAUAUUUGACUCCCAUCAUGGGUCCUAGUAAAGUUAUCCCUGGUCUCACUCACAAUCAAGUCGAUCCUCCCAUACCAUACACCAGGAUGGAUCCCAACCUAAUGAAUGUGAAAUGUAUGAAAACACUAGAAAGAGGAGGGAAGGGGCAGGGAGGUGUUGAAUAAUGUUUUAAACUCUUUCGCAAAUCAAUGCUUAAUAGUUAUUACAAAGGUUGGACACAAAGUUGACUUCUAGAUAAACUUCAUUUCCUUUUUUAGGUAGUUAGUCAAACUCAGGUCUACGUUGUAGAGUGACAAUGCUUUAUUCGUGAUUUCUUUCAUAAGUAGCCCAUACGGUCUUUUAGAGCCAAAAGCUUUGAGGAAACAUUCUAGGAAUGUCUUCCUAUCUCUUAACGUCUUUUUGAUCUUUAUGUAGAGCUUCUGAAUAAAGUUUGAUGUUGUCAUUACCUGCAUAGACAAAGAAAACAAAGCAUACAAGCACAAGAGCACUUUUUCUUAUACAUUGGAUGUUUUAAACAUUGACGAUCUUUAAGCACAUUACAUGUUUAAAACACAUUUGCACAUGUCAACAUUUUUUGAUAAAAGUAUCAUUAGAAGGCAAAGCAUUUAAUGUAUUAGAUUUAGAAAAUAUAAUCUUUAAACACGUG